Molecule: non-coding RNA, 178 nt
Filed under: Natronomonas pharaonis DSM 2160
Lineage: Archaea; Methanobacteriati; Methanobacteriota; Halobacteria; Halobacteriales; Natronomonadaceae
Description: Sense overlapping transcript RNA 2652 (sot)
Rfam family: Sense overlapping transcript RNA 2652 (sot)
About the family: It is associated with IS1341-type transposase (tnpB) genes, at the 3'-end in H. salinarum NRC-1. The tetraloop structural motif may be functional.
Source: Rfam by way of RNAcentral
AUUACCGGACGCACAAAACUCAACCACGAGCUCGGUUGGUGCGUCUGUCCGGUUCGGGGCGCGUAAACCGCCCAACCUCAUCCCUUUGCCUCGCGGAACAGGGAGUGCUACAGCACGGCUGAGGGAACUACAAAAGCUCGAGCCACCGCGUCAGAGGCUGUUUUACGAAGAGAAACAG